Molecule: non-coding RNA, 472 nt
Organism: Cucurbita pepo subsp. pepo (vegetable marrow)
Lineage: Eukaryota; Viridiplantae; Streptophyta; Magnoliopsida; Cucurbitales; Cucurbitaceae
Source: RefSeq, a predicted model, not a curated record
AAAAAAAACGCCCGAGGGGCAAAAUGGACAUUUUACCCCUCAGCCCAUUAUAGGGGUCUUGAGCGUCCUCCUCAGAGUUCUUGCAAAAGAAAGAAGAGUGAGAGAGAAGGAUUGAGAGAAAGUUUGAGAGAGAAAACUGAUUUGCCAGAGUUUUAAUCGGGGAGUCGCUGACAGAAUCCAUUCCCUACUAAGACCUACACUCUAGAGCCCUUCUUGGAGUGAAGUAAGAACUCGUGUUGAGAUUUUCUCCUCUUUCGUCAAGAUCAGAGAGAAAACCCGCAAGGGAAAAUCCGCCGCUGAUUUUGGUGAGGAAAUCGGACGAAACGCCGGGAUCUGAGAACCUUUCCAAGAACGGUACGUGAGGCGUCGAGUCAAGAGAGGGCGCGUUGAUCGAUGUGGGUUGUCACAGAGGAGGCGUGACCCGGGGCGUCAGUCUAGUCUUACUAAAUAGAACACUUUGCCUUUCAUGUUU